RNAcentral lists this ribosomal RNA (250 nucleotides) under uncultured bacterium. RNAcentral's name for it is "partial 16S ribosomal RNA". It matches the Rfam family "Bacterial small subunit ribosomal RNA", at positions 524 to 773 of the family's 1533-position model. The record is from RNAcentral.
UACAGAGGGUGCAAGCGUUGUUCGGAAUUAUUGGGCGUAAAGCGCGUGUAGGCGGCUUGGCAAGUCGGGUGUGAAAGCUCUCAGCUCAACUGAGAAAGUGCGCCCGAAACUGCUGAGCUUGAGUGCCGGAGAGGAUGGCGGAAUACCCCAAGUAGAGGUGAAAUUCGUAGAUAUGGGGUGGAACACCGGUGGCGAAGGCGGCCAUCUGGACGGUAACUGACGCUGAGACGCGAAAGCGUGGGUAGCAAAC